Molecule: ribosomal RNA, 397 nt
Filed under: uncultured bacterium
Lineage: Bacteria
Description: partial 16S ribosomal RNA
Rfam family: Bacterial small subunit ribosomal RNA
Source: RNAcentral
AUACGUAGGGGGCGAGCGUUGUCCGGAAUGAUUGGGCGUAAAGGGCGCGUAGGCGGCUUUGCAAGUCAGUAGUGGAAGUCCAUUUUUCAAGGAUGGAAGUGCUACAGAAACUGCGGAGCUUGAGUGCAGGAGAGGUUAUCGGAAUUCCCGGCGUAGCGGUGAAAUGCGUAGAGAUCGGGAGGAACACCAGUGGCGAAGGCGGGUAACUGGACUGCAACUGACGCUGAGGCGCGAAAGUGUGGGGAGCAAACAGGAUUAGAUACCCUGGUAGUCCACACUGUAAACGAUGAAUGCUAGGUGUAGGAGGUAUCGACCCCUUCUGUGCCGCAGUAAACACAGUAAGCAUUCCGCCUGGGGAGUACGGUCGCAAGAUUAAAACUUAAAGGAAUUGACGGGG